RNAcentral lists this ribosomal RNA (161 nucleotides) under Metrosideros brevistylis. Its description in RNAcentral is "5.8S ribosomal RNA". It matches the Rfam family "5.8S ribosomal RNA". From Rfam's summary of the family: 5.8S ribosomal RNA (5.8S rRNA) is a component of the large subunit of the eukaryotic ribosome. The record is from RNAcentral. Lineage: Eukaryota; Viridiplantae; Streptophyta; Magnoliopsida; Myrtales; Myrtaceae.
GACUCUCGGCAACGGAUAUCUCGGCUCUCGCAUCGAUGAAGAACGUAGCGAACUGAGAUACUUGGUGUGAAUUGCAGAAUCCCGUGAACCAUCGAGUCUUUGAACGCAAGUUGCGCCCGAAGCCAUUCGGUCGAGGGCACGUUUGCCUGGGUGUCACACAU